This 583-nucleotide long non-coding RNA is filed under the name Equus asinus (donkey). RNAcentral describes it as "lncRNA (ENSEASG00005037368.1)". The record is from RNAcentral. Lineage: Eukaryota; Metazoa; Chordata; Mammalia; Perissodactyla; Equidae.
CCUCUGGGGAGAGGAACUUGGCGGCUGGGGACGCAGACAUAUUUUGAUCAGACUGUUGAGCCAGACAACUCCACCGGCACUUAACAUUCCAGUCCAGAGGCAGCCAGCGCACACUUGCAGAAGAUUCCACGCCUUUAGACUCUGGCAAGAAGCGAGAGCAUGGUGUUUUCGAGGUUCAUCCACAUUGUGCCCCCCGGUACAUAGUUGUAUAUUCUUCGUUGUGAGUCCUUCUAGUUGUGGCAUGUGGGACGCCGCCUCAGCGUGGUUUGAUGAGCAGUGCCAUGUCCGCGCCCAGGAUUCGAACCAACGAAACACUGGGCCGCCUGCAGCGGAGCGCGCGAACUCAACCACUCGGCCACGGGGCCAGCCCCUUACUUUCGCAUCUUUAACAUAAAAGAAAAUAUCAGCCAACCUUUAUGUUGAAUUUGUCAAUUGCAGCCAUAGGUUAGCUAGGAUAUAAGAGUUUGGCAAAAACCAACAGAAGCAUUCUGUGAGAAUCAAUUGGCUCUAUGGAAUUUACAAUAAAGAUUAAUGCAUAUUUUAUUAUUUUUAAAUUGUAAAUUACUCAUCCUUUAUAUCAGUA